UCUAUCCGCUUUGGUAGAGCUAAUAAAAUUUCAAAUUGUGAACAUAUGUUUUCUGUGGUGCAUGUGUAGAAAUUGGAAGAGUCAUUGGAGACAUGUUGUAUUUCCUCAGAGGAAGCGGAGGUGUUGGUGUGCCUUCUUAGCUGUGCGUCAAUGUGGUUGA
Long non-coding RNA from Amblyraja radiata (thorny skate), 160 nucleotides. RefSeq lists it as uncharacterized. The transcript has 3 exons. The record is from RefSeq and is a predicted model, not a curated record. NCBI's taxonomy places the organism in Eukaryota, Metazoa, Chordata, Chondrichthyes, Rajiformes, Rajidae.